Oncorhynchus gorbuscha (pink salmon) is the source of this 4328-nucleotide RNA transcript. It is a transcript of the gene named serine/threonine-protein phosphatase 2A 56 kDa regulatory subunit gamma isoform, with no coding region annotated. The transcript is spliced from 17 exons. The record is from RefSeq and is a predicted model, not a curated record. NCBI's taxonomy places the organism in Eukaryota, Metazoa, Chordata, Actinopteri, Salmoniformes, Salmonidae.
UCCUUACCGCUGACAUCACUAACUAGCCAGUUCCCUCCAGCAGCACCAGAGAGCUUCAUUUUCUGAUCUGCUUUUGUGUUAAAAUGGAGGCUGGCUCCUUGCCUUAAGUGGAUUGCCUUCCUGGUCGAGUUUAGAUGUUGACAUGCACUAAAGCUGGAAUCAGGAUGGUUGUGGAUGCACCUAAUUCCAGUGGGCCUUUCCAGCCAGUGGCUCUUAUGCACUUCAGAGGGGAGAGAAUACGAGCUGUUUCAAGAAGUGGUCAGGCUGAAAUGGAAUGCCAUCCAGUGAAGAUCAAAGACUGUGCUCUGGCGGAGCAGGAGAAGUUGUUUGUGCAGAAGCUGCGCCAGUGUUGCGUGCUCUUUGACUUCCUGUCGGACCCACUAAGUGACCUGAAAUGGAAGGAGGUGAAGCGUGCGGCGCUGAGCGAGAUGGUCGAGUACAUCACCCACAACAGGAACGUCAUCACAGAGCCCGUCUACCCAGAGGUGGUGCACAUGUUUACGGUGAACAUGUUCCGAACAUUGCCUCCGUCAUCCAACCCCACAGGAGCAGAGUUUGACCCGGAGGAGGACGAGCCUACACUUGAGGCUGCUUGGCCACAUCUCCAGCUCGUCUACGAAUUUUUCCUUCGGUUUUUAGAAUCUCCUGACUUUCAACCGAACAUAGCAAAGAAGUACAUCGACCAAAAAUUUGUGAUGCAGCUUUUAGACCUGUUUGACAGUGAGGACCCACGGGAGAGGGACUUCCUCAAAACCACUCUCCACAGGAUCUAUGGGAAAUUCCUGGGACUACGGGCCUACAUCAGAAAACACAUCAAUAAUAUAUUUUAUAGGUUUAUCUAUGAGACUGAGCACCAUAAUGGAAUAGCAGAAUUACUGGAGAUACUCGGAAGUAUAAUCAAUGGGUUUGCCUUACCACUAAAGGAGGAGCACAAGAUUUUCCUGUUAAAGGUCCUGUUGCCUUUGCACAAAGUCAAAUCACUUAGUGUCUACCAUCCACAGCUGGCAUACUGUGUUGUGCAAUUUCUAGAGAAGGACAGCACUCUCACUGAACCAGUGGUAAUGGCCCUUCUCAAAUACUGGCCAAAGACUCACAGCCCCAAAGAGGUGAUGUUCCUCAAUGAGCUGGAGGAGAUUCUGGAUGUCAUUGAGCCGUCUGAGUUCGUCAAGGUCAUGGAGCCACUCUUCAGGCAGCUGGCAAAGUGUGUGUCCAGCCCGCACUUCCAGGUAGCAGAGAGAGCUCUGUACUACUGGAACAAUGAGUACAUCAUGAGUCUAAUCAGCGACAAUGCAGCCAAAAUCCUGCCCAUCAUGUUCCCGGCACUCUACCGUAACUCCAAGACCCACUGGAACAAGACCAUCCAUGGCCUCAUCUACAACGCUCUCAAGCUCUUCAUGGAAAUGAACCAGAAGCUGUUUGAUGACUGCACACAGCAGUUCAGAGCAGAGAAAAAUAAUGGUCCUCGACGGUAAAAACAACACAAUGAUUAAAAGAGAAAAGGCCAAGUCAAAAGAGAGGGAAGAGGCCUGGCUCAAGAUUGAGAACCUUGCCAAAUCACAUGUAGUGUGCUAAUGUGGAUAUUGGAUCAGAAUCCUAGUGAAAGAAGUUCACAGGUUAAAAAAGACAGUAACGGAAGAAUCCACUCAGUUACAACAGAGAGACCAGAGAAAAGACCGUCCUCUGGUGCAGCGCGAGUCGGAUCUCCCUCAGGACAUCUACACCACAAAAGCCUUGGAGACCCAUCGCCGCGCUGAUGACAUGAUCACCACCCACAAUAGGCUCUAGGUCUGCCCCUCCUCUCUCUUCUCUUCUGUCCAGUCCCCUAAAGGAGUACCGUCGCCCCUCCACACCCCACCUCCCAACCCACACAGCACAUUCAGAAUACUGGCCCAGUUUCCCUAUCUCGCCAGUACACUGCCCCAACUCACUCGGAUUUCUGCUUUCUCUGGUGUUUAUUUUGGGGGGAGGGGUGGGGCCGCAACUCUUUUAGCUGUCGGUCCUGCGGAGUCAUUGUUUUCCUUAUUGUUUCCGCUGAAUUCUGCAUAAAACAGUAUAUCGGCUCAUCCCUCCCUGCUCUUAUUGUAUGAAUGAAAAUGGGGAUGUUUCGUUCCACCUGCGACAUGACAAGCUCAUGUGAAAUGCACAACAAACGUAGAGAGCAGAAACUGAAUGAGGGAGACUUCUUCUUCUGUCAAGGGGAAACAACCAAAAACAGAUGGUUAGAUGGAGGGGUAGGACUGUUGGAUCGACUUUCCGGAUUUUAUUUUUAUCCCAGGGACAUCUGCCAGUGCCAAGACCAUUUGUGUACGUUUUUUUGUUUCUGCGUCUAUUUUUCUAUCUGUGAUUUUAAAAAGGGCGACUAGCUAGGUAGAGCCUGUGUUUGCCUUCAUUUUUUUGGCCUCGGAUGUUUUGACAAUUGUUUUUAAUAAUCUGAAGAGCAACAGGGCUGUCUAAAGUGACUGAUCCAUCUGUUCUGAAGAAGUUACAUUGUGACAGGGAUUGAGAGAGGGAGGAAGGGAUGUUCUCUGUGGACACUAGACUCUUUACACUCUACAUUUUGUGCCAUAUAAAAGUUUUAUUUUGUCUUAUUUCCUUUCUCAGAUGGGUAUCUGAAUUCCAUCUGCAAUAUGUGAGCUGGAAAUUUCACAGUGUAAUUACUGACAGAAAUAUUGACAGUUCAAACAAUGGUACAAACAAUGGUUUAUUUCAUAUAGAGAAACAUAUUGGGUGGUUGUUAGUUUCCACCUUGUUUCACAUUAUGACACCUUAACUUGGGGUAUCACAUAAUGAGUAGUUAUUUGGGAUGCAAGAUGAUUUGUAGAUCACUGUUUCUGCACAGCCUGACUGCAAUCUAGUCCAUCUUAAAUGCAUACCCCACUGGGCAACAUUGAAUCAAUGUUUCCAUGUAAUUUCAAUUAAAUUAAGUUGAACCCAUGUGGAAUAGACAUGUAGUUGAUGAUCCAGGCUUCAGCAGUCCUGGAGCUACUUGCUAGUCAAGCAUUGACCUCCAUUCGUUUCAGAGGUACCCAUGAUAUCACAUGUCGUGUUCAUCUCGUACCCCCCCCAGCAUGCUCACUAUUCCCCCUGUUGUUUUUUACAUUUUUACCACCACCCUUAUCCAGAUGUGCUUCUCUGUGGAGCUGAAUGGACUGUUACUAAGCAAAUAACAAAUUAUUCACUUCCAUAAGACAUCCUUUUCGAAGACAUCGGAGUGCCUUUUAUCAUGAGGAGAAAUAUGAAAUAAUUUUUGUCCCCAAUGAGGAGAAUAUCAACACUGUUUGGAUGGGAAAACCAUUUCAUGUGACGGUUAAAUGGGCAUGUGUCCAUUGCCAAUAAUAUAUACUGAUUCACAGGCACAUUCACAGAGAUAGUAGAGACCGAGCGGUGAUUCCAGACCUGAAUAACUCUUGGAAGUAGAUGAAUCGUGUAGUUGUUAAGAAAAAGCAUAUUGAACUACCUGAAAAGCACUUCCUGAAAACUUGAAAGAUGUGACAUGUUUGUGUAUAUUCAAAUGAAGCUCUGUAUCCCGUUGAGUAUAUAUGUACAGUCUAUUCUGCUUUCUCAAGUCAGGAAGCUGUCAAAUCCAGGAGUGUUUUGGACAUUAACAUUUACAAGUGGGUCAUCUCUUGAACCAUUGUUUGAACUUCCAAAUCUAGCAUGGGUAUACAAUCUGUAAUGUGUUUUGUGUUGUCCCUGGUAACUUAUAGCCUGGAUGCUAGUUUUAGCAUUGUAGCUGCCAAUGGAAAUGGCCAAUGCUAAAACAGACAGAUCGAGGCUUGGCAACUGUAUUAUUCAUAUUUGCUUGAAUGGAAAAGGUGUACAUUUAUACAACCAAUGUUAAACAUGUAUUUUUUUCCCCUGGAAGAAUGCCACUCACCAAAACAAUUUCUAUCCUAAAAUAAUAUAUUUGCUUUUUAUUUAAUGGUAUUGGUUUAAGAUAUUUUAUCAGUUUGCAUUUUGUUUUUGUUCGAACUGUUGUUUUUGUGUAGACCCAUAGAUAAAUGACUCGUAAAACAAGUUAGACGGGAAAAAAAUAUGUUGGUGACUGUUUUUCUAAAUUCUUUGCAGGAUUUUAGUUGAACAUGUACUUUACAAAAUAUAAUAACUUGACAAGUGUCCUUUUGUAUGUGACCUGUACUAUAUGGCUUCAUUUAAUGUUGUGUACAUAUGAUUUACUUUGUUUUAUGUAGUGUUAUAGAUCUAGAUUUUGUACAAAAUGGUCCUCUGUACAGAAUAAAACAUCAAUAGCAAUGACAAGAAGUCAAUGUGGCACAUACAUUCUUUUCCUCUUUCACUUAUGACUUUGCAUUAUUAAAAAAGUCAUUGUA